AUCCCGAAGUAGAAAGAGUUAGCCUGUCUUGUGGUUAGUGUGUCAAAAUUAUCACUAAAAAUAGGUUAGAGGCGACAUACCAUUCAAUUUCUAUAUAUCUGGUUUAAUCUAUUAAAAUUUAAUUUAUAUGCAGAUUUAAGUAUUUGUUAAAAUAUAAUAGAGGGGCAAGCUCUCUAUAUUAGACUAUAAAUAAAAACAUAAAGAAGGUUUAAUAAUUUUCAUUGAGAGCCAGAUCAAAUUUUACUAGUCUGAGAAGGUUAAACUGUAAAUAACUCUAAACAGAAGAUAAUAAGUAUAUUAGUAAUAAAUAAAUAUUAAUUCAUGUAUAAAGCUACUAUAAGUUUAAGAAAGAGUAAAUUUUUACAGAACUCGGCAAUACUAGUUUCGCAUGUUUACCAAAAACAUCUCUUAGGUGUAUUCUAAGUAACCUCUGCCCUAUGAAUAGUUUAAAUGGCCGCAGUACUUUGACUGUGCAAAGGUAGCAUAAUCAUUUGUCUUUUAAUUGGAGGCUGGCAUGAAGGAGGCGACGAAAUCUAGCCUGUUGGCGUGGAGUAUAAAAUUAACUUGGGGGUCAAAAGGCCCACAUGCCCCAAAGGGACGAUAAGACCCUAUAAAACUUAACUGUGGGGAGAAGCCUGAUGUGUGACCUCUAAGCCCACGGUUUAACUGGGGCGGUUUAUAUAAAAACAAUUAAAAUAUAAAUAUUUUAUAUAGAACCCGAGAGCUUUUAUAGGAAAUGAACAAGUUACUUUAGGGAUAACAGCAUAAUUCUCCCGGAGAGUUCUAAUCGGCGGGAGAGCUUAUGACCUCGAUGUUGAAUUGGGGUGUCUGGUGUAAGUAGAAAUAUAUUAAGAUAGUCUGUUCGACUAUUAAAUCCCCACAUGAUUUGAGUUCAGACCGGCGCGAGCCAGGUUGGUUUCUAUCUUUUGGAGAGCACAGAAUUAAAUUGUACGAAAGGACCUUUA
This 965-nucleotide ribosomal RNA is filed under the name Proasellus ibericus. Its description in RNAcentral is "16S ribosomal RNA". It matches the Rfam family "Bacterial large subunit ribosomal RNA", at positions 1387 to 2697 of the family's 2925-position model. The record is from RNAcentral. Lineage: Eukaryota; Metazoa; Arthropoda; Malacostraca; Isopoda; Asellidae.